AUCCGAUUGAAGAGUCACAAAUAGGACGAAACGCGCAUCCUAGAU
Molecule: non-coding RNA, 45 nt
Filed under: Schistosoma haematobium
Lineage: Eukaryota; Metazoa; Platyhelminthes; Trematoda; Strigeidida; Schistosomatidae
Source: RNAcentral